Molecule: ribosomal RNA, 246 nt
Filed under: uncultured bacterium
Lineage: Bacteria
Description: partial 16S ribosomal RNA
Rfam family: Bacterial small subunit ribosomal RNA
Source: RNAcentral
AGUAACGCGUGAGCAAUCUGCCUUCGGAUCGGGGGAUAACAGCCGGAAACGGCUGCUAAUACCGCAUAACACAAGGGAUUCGCAUGUUUCCCUUGUCAAAGAUUUAUCGUCCGAAGAUGAGCUCGCGUCUGAUUAGCUAGUUGGCGGGGUAACGGCCCACCAAGGCGACGAUCAGUAGCCGGACUGAGAGGUUGAACGGCCACAUUGGGACUGAGACACGGCCCAGACUCCUACGGGAGGCAGCAG